GGAAGAAUACUAAAUGAAAAGUGAUCUUAAUGCUCUCCAAUAUUUAUCAUCUGAAAUUUAAAUCUGAAAAUUUUUACGAUACACCUUGAGGCUUGUUAGGUUAGUAUAUCCUAUGCAUCAAUCAUGAACUAAAUUACAAUUCAAAUAGUUGAUCUUAAGAGCCUCUAACUUAAUGAAAAAGGGGGAGAAUAAUGUGUUGAAUUUUCUUGAGUAUCUCAUAGAAAAUCUAUUUUGGAAUUCACUAAUGAGUCCUAAUUGGCUUGCUCCUUAGAACUUAAAUUUUGUGCCAAUUUCUAUUUUUAUGUAUCAAAUUGUGCUUAUUUUCUAAAGGAAUAAAAGAAAGUCUUUAAGAGAGCUCUAAGAUAUAUCAAAAUUGCAUGAAUCCAUAUUUUGGUAUUUGUGCCCCAAUGCUCUUAUUAUCAUAAAAGAACCUUGAAGUCAUUAAGAAUUAAUGAUCCAACAUGAUGAUAUGUCUUUCAAAUAUAUAAGUUUUGAUCUUUUACUCUAAAAAUCAAUUAAAUUGCUCUCAUGUUGAUAAAACACUUAAUAGAUUGGGCAAAAGAUCUUAAAUGAACAAGCUUUCAUACUUAUUAAAGAGAGGUUAGAUUUCCACUCAUGUGUUUCCUUGAAUAUCAUUUGUGGUACUUCUUGUAUUAACCUAAGGAAGAUUCCACCUAUACUUGAUUAGAAAACUAUCUGUGGUAUCAAAUUAGAAAACUUCUUGAAAUCACAUUCGAUGUGUUCUGCUCUAAAAUUAUCUUAAUUGGCUCUGAUCUAUG
RNAcentral lists this long non-coding RNA (779 nucleotides) under Phoenix dactylifera (date palm). RNAcentral describes it as "long non-coding RNA (PDAC_LNC004003)". The record is from RNAcentral. Lineage: Eukaryota; Viridiplantae; Streptophyta; Magnoliopsida; Arecales; Arecaceae.